UGUAAAUGAGUAAAACUAAAAGUGAAGCUCACGAUAUAUAAAGAAAGAAAUUCCGUAACAAUUAUUAUGUUAUGACAGUAUAAAUUAUUAGGCCGAUUAAUACUAGUUUUUAUGGGAAUGUUUAAGGGAAGCAAACAAUGAAUAAAACAUCAAGUGUGCGUACCAUUAACCUAGUUAAUAAACUUUUAUAUGUAAACCAUUUCGAAUAAUAACAGUUUUGUUAUAGUUUCUCAUUUAAACCAACGUUUUUUUAGCUCGAGAGCUUCCACUAAAUGAGAAAAUAAAAAAAGGGAUCCAGGAAUUAAAAUUGUUCUUAAUCAGAUGUUUAAAUGCAUUCGGGAACAAUGAGUCGUGUAGCGUACACUAGUAAAGGAAGUUUCAUUUUAAAGGAAGAAAGUAAUGACUCUUUCAACACAUUUUCAAGUGUUUUAAUGCUUUUUGUCAAUGUUGAAUGAAUACAGAAAGCGCAUCAACAGAUAUUAACUUAUUUAUUUACAGAUUUAUUUAAAACCGAUGCGAUUGGAAAAUUGCACCACGUUUACAUCGUAAAUACCUGUUCGUGCAUUAUGUGCUCUGCAUUUGGUCGGUAAUUAUUUGUAAUUUCUAAUGCAAUAGGGUUUUACCUUUCUUUCCAGUUUAAUUCGAUCUACAAUGGAGAUGGAGAUUGACAUAAAUAACUUCUGUACUAUUGACUACACUACCAAAGAUGGCUUUAACUUGAAAAUAACACAUGGGAAUCAAAAAGUAUAAGACAGCACCUACAGGAUGCUACGAUAACAACCACAGACAGGAUCCUCCGCACUUACUCCAAAGGGAGAAGGUGCAUUCCCCGCCAAUCCGACUGAUACACCACAUAGAAGUGGAAUCUUUGGAAAGAAUGGCCUCGUACCGUUUACACCCUAGGGAAAGUACUGAUUCUGUAAAAUACUUUAAUUAAGGUAACGUAAUCUUUGUGAUUUGUAUAAAAAAGUAUGAUCGGUUCUUUUUAAGAAGUUGCAUUACAUUUUUUUAUUGAAAGGAGGAUAUUCUUAAAGAAAUCGUCGGUGUAAAUUAACUACAAACAAAUUUGUAUCUUAAGUAAUAAUCAUUACAUCUAAAGGAAUUUUGGUUUUUUCCAUUCUUUUGGAAAUUAUAUAUAAUAUAUAUCCACUUUAAAUGGGAUUAGCCCUUUAAAUGAAGUUUAAAUAGGGGU
Molecule: long non-coding RNA, 1192 nt
Organism: Photinus pyralis (common eastern firefly)
Lineage: Eukaryota; Metazoa; Arthropoda; Insecta; Coleoptera; Lampyridae
Exons: 3
Source: RefSeq, a predicted model, not a curated record